Ictalurus furcatus (blue catfish) is the source of this 665-nucleotide long non-coding RNA. RefSeq lists it as uncharacterized. The record is from RefSeq and is a predicted model, not a curated record. The transcript is spliced from 2 exons. Lineage: Eukaryota; Metazoa; Chordata; Actinopteri; Siluriformes; Ictaluridae.
GUGAUUAUACAAGUUACUAUAGACUUCCUGUCUCGGAUCUCUCUCAUCAACAAGGUGUUUCAGCCUGCAGACCCUCUGCUCACAGGAUGGCUUUUGUUUUUCACACCAUUCUGCUUCUUCUUCUUCUUCGUUGAGUAGUUUAAUGUUUUACGCGGUGUUAUUAUAUGGCCACCAGAGGGCGCUCCAGAUGCGCUGAGGGCGGAUUUUCUAGUUGGGUAUAAACGGAGGUCGGAGCCAGCUCCAAAUGGGAGGGUCAGAGCUCCAAAUAGGUGGGACUUUAGCUCCAAGUGGGCUGUACAAACCUCCAGAGGAUUUUGGUUAGUGUAGUGUCUAUGUAAAUUAAGCUGUCGGGGUUUUCCCCCAGAGGCAAUAUGGCGACUUGACGGAGUUAAACGGGUUAAGGGCAGACGAGGCGUUUACACCGAAGUGUUUACCCAGGACAGUGCAGUUUCUCAUGCAUGCAGUCCAGCUGUGCUAAUAAGUCCUGCCACUGUAUAUACAGAGAAAAUCAUGGCACCUUUAUCACUGUGGACUGUAAAUAUAUGUAUAAUUCUGUUUUUAUUUCAGAGUAAUUUGUACAUAUUUUGUAGUAGAUUUUGUUGUGAAGGAAUAGUUCACUUUAAAACAAAAUCAUUGAGCAAUAAAAACUGUUGUUUAUAAAGUCA